GGUGGUUGCCAAUGAGGCCCUUCAGGUAUGUAAAUCUUUGUUGAGCCUCUUUUAUAGAUGUUUCUUCAUAGUCAGCGUUGGCAGGAUGAUCCAAUGUAGUUCACCAUCAUAUCAACAUCAUCAGAUUUGUACAUGAUGUCAUGGUGGUCCAGGAGACGUCCCUUAACGGGAGAUGCAGAAAAAAUGCAUAUCAUCUAUUAUGUUGUGAUCUCCCUAACAGAUAUGGAAGUUGUUGGUCUUCCCAGACCACCU
RNAcentral lists this long non-coding RNA (252 nucleotides) under Trifolium pratense (red clover). RNAcentral describes it as "long non-coding RNA (TPRA_LNC006911)". Lineage: Eukaryota; Viridiplantae; Streptophyta; Magnoliopsida; Fabales; Fabaceae. The record is from RNAcentral.